GACGAACGCUGGCGGCGUGCCUAAUACAUGCAAGUAGAACGCUGAAGGAGGAGCUUGCUUCUCUGGAUGAGUUGCGAACGGGUGAGUAACGCGUAGGUAACCUGCCUGGUAGCGGGGGAUGACUAUUGGAAACGAUAGCUAAUACCGCAUAAUAGUAGAUGUUGCAUGACAUUUGCUUAAAAGGUGCAAUUGCAUCACUACCAGAUGGACCUGCGUUGUAUUAGCUAGUUGGUGGGGUAACGGCUCACCAAGGCGACGAUACAUAGCCGACCUGAGAGGGUGAUCGGCCACACUGGGACUGAGACACGGCCCAGACUCCUACGGGAGGCAGCAGUAGGGAAUCUUCGGCAAUGGACGGAAGUCUGACCGAGCAACGCCGCGUGAGUGAAGAAGGUUUUCGGAUCGUAAAGCUCUGUUGUAAGAGAAGAACGAGUGUGAGAGUGGAAAGUUCACACUGUGACGGUAUCUGACCAGAAAGGGACGGCUAACUACGUG
RNAcentral lists this ribosomal RNA (495 nucleotides) under uncultured bacterium. RNAcentral's name for it is "partial 16S ribosomal RNA". It matches the Rfam family "Bacterial small subunit ribosomal RNA", at positions 28 to 507 of the family's 1533-position model. The record is from RNAcentral.